RNAcentral lists this long non-coding RNA (2205 nucleotides) under Oryza sativa tropical japonica subgroup. Its description in RNAcentral is "lncRNA OsAzu_04g0002060". The record is from RNAcentral. Lineage: Eukaryota; Viridiplantae; Streptophyta; Magnoliopsida; Poales; Poaceae.
GGGCAGGAAAACAUACUGCAUCCUUUGGCUGCUGCACAGUGAGACAACAAGGCAUCUUCCACCUAGGAGUGUGUGGCAAUAGUGACUAGCAUGCCGUCAUCGCUGAAAUCGCUGCUUCCGGGUGGGAAAGAUGACAAGAGGAGGACCCUAAUGCACCAGGUCUCCACACUUGGGGAGAGGGUGUCGGAGUUGGAGAACAAAAAUGCCCAGCUGCUUGACGAGAAGGGUAAAGUGGAGAAGCAAUUGGAGGAGACAAAGCAGGAAGCUCAGGUCAUCUCAAGGCAGAAAGAGGAGGUGGAGAGUAGCUUGAAGGGUCAAAAUGAAAUGCUUGGGUUGAAGGUUUUGAAUGUGGAGGAAAAAUAUAAUCAUAUGGUCGAGAAGCUCCAGAUGGAAAUAUGUGCAUUGGUGAAGGAGUCAGAGGAUCUUAAGAGGAGGUUGGAGGAAAUCCAGGCGAAGAAGGAUUUGAUGGAGAGUGAAAGGGAUAUGCUUCGGUCGGAGGCUAUGAUUACAAAGCAAAAACAGAUCAUGUUUGAAGCAGAGAUUGAGAGGCUCAAUAUGGAAUUGGUUGUAUUGACGGAGGCGAAGAAGGCUGCUGCAAAGGCAUGUGAAGCUCAAAAUGAUGAAAUCAUGAAGGAACUGGAGGAUCUUAAGAGGAAGUUUGAGGAACUGCAAACAAAUAAGGAUUUAGUGCAAGCUAAAAAUGAUGAACUUCUGUCAAAUGUUUUGGCAAUAAAGGAGAAAUAUGGCCAGUCAGAAGCAGAGGUUAAGAAGCUCCAGAUGGAAUUAAGUGCAUUGGUGAUGGAAAAAGAGGUAGCUGUUAAGACAUUUGAUGACGAGAAAGACGAAAUGAUGAUGGAAUCAGCGGAUCUUAAGAGGAGGUUGGAGGAAAUCCAGGCCAAUAAGGAUUUGGUGGAGAGUGAAAAUGAUAGGCUUCGGUCGGAAGCUCUGAUUACAAAGCAAAAACAAAUCAUGUUUGAAGCAAAGAUUGAGACACUCAAUAUGGAAUUGGUUGCAUUGACGGAGGCGAAGGAGGCUGCUGCGAAGGCAUGUGAAGCUCAAAAUGAUGAAAUCACAAAGGAACUAGAGGAUCUUAAGAGGAAGUUUGAGGAACUGCAAACAAAUAAGGAUUUAGUGGAAGGUGAAAAUGAUAAGCUUCAGUCAGAGGUUUUGGCAAUAGAGGAGAAAUAUGGCCAGUCUGAAGCAAAAGUUAAGUGGCUUAAUCAGAUAUUGAGAGUAGUGGUGGAGGCGAAGGAUGUAGCUGCAAAGGCAUGUGAAGCUGAGAAGGUAGAAAUCUUGAAGGAAUCAGGAAAUCUUAAGAGGAGGGUAGAGGAAAUUCUGGUUAACAAGGAUUUGGUUGAGAGUGAAAAUGACGUGCUUCGGUCAGAUAUUCUGACAUUGAAGCAGAAAUACAAUCAAUUUGAAGUAGAGGUUAAGAGCCUCAAGAAUGAAUUGGAAGCAUUCAAGGAGGAGAAGGAGGUUACUGCAAAGGCGUUUAAUGUUGAGAAGACAGAAAUCCUAAAGGAAUUGGAGGAUCAAAAGAUGAACGUACAGGAAAUCCAGGCCAAGAAGGAUUUGGUGGAGAGUGAAAAUAACGUGCUUCAGUUAGAUAUUGUGACAACGAAGCAGAAAUAUAAUCAAUUUGAAGUAGAGAUUAAGAGCCUGAAGAAUGAAUUGAAAGCAUUAGAGGAGGAAAAGGAGGUUACUGCAAAGGCGUUUAAUGUUGAGAAGACAGAAAUCCUAAAGGAAUUGGAGGAUCUUAAGAGGAAGGUGCAGGAAAUCCAGGCCAACAUGUAUUUAGUGGAGGGUGAAAAUGAUAAACUUCGGUUGGAUGUUUCUACUGCAGAACAGAAAGAACGCAUAUCUAAAGCAGAGGCUAAGCGUCUCUGGAAGAUAUUGGAUGCUUUGAUGGAGGCAAAGGAGGUGACUACGAAGUCAUGUGAUGCUGAGAAAGAAAAAAUCAUGAAGGAAUUGGAGGAUCUUAAGAGGAAGGUGGAGGAAAUCCAGGCUAGCAAGGAUGCCCUCAUCAGGGACAACGAGCUGCUGCACUAUGCAGUUGCUGAGGCAUAAGAGAAGAAUAAGGGUAGCAUUUUAUCAUGCCUGUCACUACACGGCUUGAAGUAAUUAUGUUGGCAAUGUGUCGCUUUACUAAUGUAAUGGUGAUCAGUUGGUACUCAACAAUAAAAUAAAACUUUCACUUCCUUUGUG